CUGAUGAACAACAGAAACACACUGUUAUGGCCCAUAUAAUACUGCAGGGGUAGCCAACCCUGCUCCUGGAGAACUACUAUCCUGCAGAGGUGUGUUGAAGUUGGAGUCAGAAAUCUGCAGGAAGGUAGCUCUCCAGGAACAGGGCCAGGUUGACACUAUAUGUACAAGUGAAUCUUGAAUGUUUCAACGUCUCUUCUCUUGAGUGAGAUCAACUCCUCUGCCAAAGACCUCAGCAGGUCAUCUGUGAGAGGUCCAUCACCAACCUCCUCUAAAAGCCUCUGGUACAAAGGUGACGCCGUUCCGUCACUUGUCCAGGUGUUGAUAAGGGGCUGUGAUGGCAAUUUGGUCGCAUAUGAUAUUUCAGAUGUGCUCUGCUGGACAGUUCCACAAGCAGAGAUUACAAGGACAUGGCAUUUAUUCUCUGGAGAAGAACUGUCUGCGCUAAGAUUCUCAUAAACUGGAGUUGCAAACAUUUCGUAGAUUGCUGGACCUUCAUCUCCCUGACUGAGCUUCAGAAACAUGUCUUUGUCCUUCAGAGAAAGUGCAGCAGUUCAUACUUGGAGACUUUCUCUGAAAAUCAGAGUUUUCUGUUGUUUUGAAAGACUUGCAUCUUAUUUCAUUCUUGACGACUUUCCUAACAGUCAAUGAUUUGGUAGAUGUGUAGCCUUUCUUGUCUGAAAUGACAUUAUCGUUUGUAGUGUUGUGUAUUACAGAACUCCCUAAAUCCUGAAAAUCCAAAUAGGUCCCCAGUUCCAGAUUGAGUGACUUCUCUAAGAUCCUUUCCACUCUUCGUCUGGACUGUGAUGAGAUGGGCAAGAUGCUACUUUGUUUUAAGAGAAGUGGGUGCUCAAGACUUGAACAUGCAGAGCCAUCCUUAUAUAUAUUGUCCAGCGGAGCAAGAUGUUUGGGUGUCUUUGAACAUAGAGUAGGUAGUGUCUGGAAAUCACAGCACAGCAAUCAAAAUGGUAUUAAAGGCAAGACUUUUUGCAUUUAUUAAAAGCAUUUCCUCACCUUUUGUCUGUUAUCGUCAUCCCCUGUGUGAGCACCUCUAAGCCCUGUAGUUAAUUGAAAACUUUUAUUAUAAGAUUUUCUUUCUUAUAACCUCUUCACCAAUUCUUUUUUCAUUACAAUCAAAGUUGCACACACACACUAAAACUUAAAUAUAGAGUUGCCAAUAGUUACGUUAAGCGAAUGUGUCCUCAAUUUUGGUGACUCCGCAGCCACAAAUGUAGGCAACCUAUGUUUGUUUGAAAACUAUCCCUUGAGCAUCCCAUAAUCCUCUUUCUCAUGGAUUGUACAAAGUAUUAGUGAAGGUCUCUUUUAAUGCUUAGUCUUCUGAUGACAAUAUACCCUAAGCUCCUUCAUUCAUUCUCAGACUGAUCUGGUGAGAAUCUGUCCACAAACAAACAUGUCUGUUGGCAUUGGUCAGCAUCUAUCGGUGCAGUGUGAAAUAGCCUUAACUAGUGAACCCACUUACAUUUUGGCUGACUGUGCUCAUUUAUUCGCUGAAAUCUGUCAAACCACAUUAUGCUUCACAAUGUAUCUAAUAAUCAGUGUCUGUAUUUUGUUUUAAUGCAAUUCUUUCACAAUAAACAACUGUCUAUACUUACA
Cyprinus carpio carpio is the source of this 1611-nucleotide long non-coding RNA. The record is from Ensembl. Lineage: Eukaryota; Metazoa; Chordata; Actinopteri; Cypriniformes; Cyprinidae.